This 440-nucleotide ribosomal RNA is filed under the name uncultured bacterium. Its description in RNAcentral is "partial 16S ribosomal RNA". It matches the Rfam family "Bacterial small subunit ribosomal RNA", at positions 338 to 795 of the family's 1533-position model. The record is from RNAcentral.
CCUACGGGCGGCAGCAGUGGGGAAUAUUGCACAAUGGGGGAAACCCUGAUGCAGCGACGCCGCGUGAGUGAAGAAGUAUUUCGGUAUGUAAAGCUCUAUCAGCAGGGAAGAAAAUGACGGUAACUGAUUAAGAAGCCCCGGCUAACUACGUGCCAGCAGCCGCGGUAAUAAGUAGGGGGCAAGCGUUAGCCGGAUUUACUGGGUGUAAAGGGAGCGAUGACGGCGGCACAAGUAUGGAGUGAAAUGCAGGGGAUUAACCCCGGAACUGCUUUGGAGACUGUGCAGCUAGAGGGCAGGAGAGGUAAGUGGAAUUCCUAGUGUAGCGGUGAAAUGCGUAGAUAUUAGGAGGAACACCAGUGGCGAAGGCGGCUUACUGGACUGUAACUGACGUUGAGGCUCGAAAGCGUGGGGAGCAAACAGGAUUAGAUACCCUGGUAGUC